CUGCUCAAUGAAUAAUUUUAAAUAGCUGCAGUAUAAAUAACUGUACAAAGGUAGCAUAAUAAUUUGUUUUUUAAUUGAAAACUAGAAUGAAUGAUUAAAUGAAAUAUAAACUAUAUCAAAUUUAAAAAAUAAAUUUAUUAUUUAAAUAAAAAAAUUUAAAUAAUUUUUAAAGACGAGAAGACCCUAAAGAAUUUUAAUAAUAAAUUAUAAUAUAAAUUUAUAAUUUAUUAUAUUAAUUGGGGAAAUUUUAAAAUUUAAAAAAUUUUUAAUUAAAUAAACAUAUAUUUUUGAAUAUUUAAAAUUUUUUUAAAAAAUUAAAUUAAAUUACCUUAGGGAUAACAGCAUAAUUUUUUUAAAAAG
RNAcentral lists this ribosomal RNA (360 nucleotides) under Cotesia sesamiae. RNAcentral's name for it is "partial 16S ribosomal RNA". Lineage: Eukaryota; Metazoa; Arthropoda; Insecta; Hymenoptera; Braconidae. The record is from RNAcentral.